This 253-nucleotide ribosomal RNA is filed under the name uncultured bacterium. Its description in RNAcentral is "partial 16S ribosomal RNA". It matches the Rfam family "Bacterial small subunit ribosomal RNA", at positions 524 to 776 of the family's 1533-position model. The record is from RNAcentral.
UACGUAGGGGGCUAGCGUUGUCCGGAAUCAUUGGGCGUAAAGAGCGUGUAGGCGGCCCGGUAAGUCCGCUGUGAAAGUCGGGGGCUCAACCCUCGAAUGCCGGUGGAUACUGUCGGGCUAGAGUGCGGAAGAGGCGAGUGGAAUUCCUGGUGUAGCGGUGAAAUGCGCAGAUAUCAGGAGGAACACCAAUUGCGAAGGCAGCUCACUAAGCUUUAACUGACACUGAGGCACGAAAGUGUGGGGAUCAAACAGG